AGGGAUCAUUGCUGGAACGCGCCCCAGGCGCACCCAGAAACCCUUUGUGAACUUAUACCUUACUGUUGCCUCGGCGCAUGCUGGCCCCCUCGGGGGCCCCUCGGAGACGAGGAGCAGGCACGCCGGCGGCCAAGUUAACUCUUGUUUUUACACUGAAACUCUGAGAAAAAACACAAAUGAAUCAAAACUUUCAACAACGGAUCUCUUGGUUCUGGCAUCGAUGAAGAACGCAGCGAAAUGCGAUAAGUAAUGUGAAUUGCAGAAUUCAGUGAAUCAUCGAAUCUUUGAACGCACAUUGCGCCCUCUGGUAUUCCGGAGGGCAUGCCUGUUCGAGCGUCAUUUCAACCCUCAAGCAUUGCUUGGUGUUGGGGCACUGCCUGUAAAAGGGCAGGCCCUGAAAUCUAGUGGCGAGCUCGCCAGGACCCCGAGCGCAGUAGUUAAACCCUCGCUUUGGAAGGCCCUGGCGGUGCCCUGCCGUUAAACCCCCAACUUCUGAAAAUUUGACCUCGGAUCAGGUAGGAAUACCCGCUGAACUUAAGCAUAUCAAUAAGCGGAGGAA
RNAcentral lists this ribosomal RNA (559 nucleotides) under Phomopsis sp. XJ-05. RNAcentral describes it as "eukaryotic LSU rRNA". The stretch from base 186 to 339 matches the Rfam family "5.8S ribosomal RNA". The record is from RNAcentral. Lineage: Eukaryota; Fungi; Ascomycota; Sordariomycetes; Diaporthales; Diaporthaceae.